Molecule: ribosomal RNA, 244 nt
Filed under: uncultured bacterium
Lineage: Bacteria
Description: partial 16S ribosomal RNA
Rfam family: Bacterial small subunit ribosomal RNA
Source: RNAcentral
UACAGAGGGGGGCAAGCGUUGUUCGGAAUUACUGGGCGUAAAGGGCGCGUAGGCGGCCUGCUAAGUCGAACGUGAAAUCCCUGGGCUCAACCCAGGAACUGCGUCCGAUACUGGUUGGCUUUGAAUCCGGGAGAGGGACGUGGAAUUCCAGUGUAGCGGUGAAAAUGCGCAGAUAUCAGGAGGAACACCGGUGGCGAAGGCGGUUCUCUGGGGCCUGUACUGACGUGAGGGAGCGAAAAGCGUG